This 253-nucleotide ribosomal RNA is filed under the name uncultured bacterium. RNAcentral's name for it is "partial 16S ribosomal RNA". It matches the Rfam family "Bacterial small subunit ribosomal RNA", at positions 524 to 776 of the family's 1533-position model. The record is from RNAcentral.
UACGUAGGGUGCGAGCGUUAAUCGGAAUUACUGGGCGUAAAGCGUGCGCAGGCGGUUUUGUAAGCCAGAUGUGAAAUCCCCGGGCUUAACCUGGGAAUGGCAUUUGGGACUGCAAGGCUGGAGUGUGGCAGAGGAGACUGGAAUUCCUGGUGUAGCAGUGAAAUGCGUAGAUAUCAGGAGGAAUACCGAUGGCGAAGGCGGGUCUCUGGGCAGUAACUGACGCUGAGGAGCGAAAGCGUGGGGAGCGAACAGG